AUGCAACUGCUAGCGGCAGGAACCCUACAUGCAAGUCGAACGGUGUCUUCGGACAUAGUGGCGCACGGGUGCGUAACACGUAUGCAACCUACCUUACAUUGGGGGAUAGCCUUUCGAAAGGGAGAUUAAUACCGCAUAAGACAGUAGCUGGGCAUCCAGCAGCUGUUAAAGAUUUAUCGAUGUAAGAUGGGCAUGCGACCAAUUAGUUAGUUGGCGAGGUAACGGCUCACCAAGACUAUGAUUGGUAGGGGAACUGAGAGGUCAAUCCCCCACACUGGCACUGAGAUACGGGCCAGACUCCUACGGGAGGCAGCAGUAGGGAAUAUUGGGCAAUGGACGCAAGUCUGACCCAGCCAUGCCGCGUGCAGGAUGAAGGCGUUAUGCGUCGUAAACUGCUUUUAUACAGGAAGAAACGACUCUUGCGAGAGGCAUUGACGGUACUGUAUGAAUAAGCACCGGCUAACUCCGUGCCAGCAGCCGCGGUAAUACGGAGGGUGCAAGCGUUGUCCGGAUUUAUUGGGUUUAAAGGUGCGCAGGUGGUUUAUUAAGUCAGUGGUGAAAGACGGUCGCUCAACGAUUGCAGUGCCAUUGAAACUAGUAGACUUGAGUAAAGUAGAGGUGGGCGGAAUUGAUAGUGUAGCGUGAAAUGCAUAGAUAUUAUCAAGAACUCCAAUUGCGAGGCAGCUCACUUGGUUUUACUGACACUCAUGCACGAAA
This 717-nucleotide ribosomal RNA is filed under the name uncultured Bacteroidota bacterium. RNAcentral describes it as "bacterial SSU rRNA". It matches the Rfam family "Bacterial small subunit ribosomal RNA", at positions 29 to 758 of the family's 1533-position model. The record is from RNAcentral. Lineage: Bacteria; Pseudomonadati; Bacteroidota.